This 310-nucleotide small RNA is filed under the name Nannospalax galili (Upper Galilee mountains blind mole rat). RNAcentral describes it as "7SK RNA (ENSNGAG00000004380.1)". The stretch from base 1 to 245 matches the Rfam family "7SK RNA". Rfam says of the family: 7SK was discovered as an abundant small nuclear RNA in the mid-70s but a possible function has only recently been suggested. Two independent studies have found that 7SK RNA binds the CDK9/cyclin T complex (known as elongation factor P-TEFb). P-TEFb activates transcription by phosphorylating the C-terminal domain of RNA polymerase II. Lineage: Eukaryota; Metazoa; Chordata; Mammalia; Rodentia; Spalacidae. The record is from RNAcentral.
GGGCGAUCUGGCUAUAACAUCUGUCACCCCACUAAUUAUCAGGGUUGAUUAGGCUGAUCAGACUAGCUAGUCAGUUUCCCCUUCCUCCAGGUGUGUUCCUCCUAAUGCUGCAAGCUAGGUAAAAAAGAAUGACCUUUCUUGAUGGAGAACCUUUCUUCAGUAAAGCAUAUGUGAGUAGCUAUGCUCCCCUGCUAGAGCUUCCAAACAAGCUAUGACACUUUGGGAUAGGUAAUCCUUUGCUGUUGGUAGUGGUGGGGUUUCAUUCUGUGCACAGUAGGACAUGCAGUAGAACUCCUAGCUUCUGCUUACU